UUUAUUCUCAUCAUAUUGUAAACCCUAGCCCCCACCUAAACAAAAACACACACAUAACUUGCCUUUAUCGAAUGAGAGAUAGAGAGCCGAAGGAGAGAGAAAGUUGAGAUGCAGGCUGGUGGUCUUCGGCCACAUAGUUACGAAGGCGCCGCAUCAGCAGCUUAUGGUGGCGGCGAUAUGGCGUGGAGCGGUGGUGGUGAGGCUCAGGUGGCGGCGGCAGUUCAGGUGCGUGUGGGGAGGACUGGCUGAUGCGAUGCACUCGAGAUGGUUCUGACUCAAAUCUAGCAGCAACAACCACAAAUCUGAACUCCAUUAGCGUCGGUGUCCCUCUAGCAGCAGCGACUACGGCACCCGUCCUUAGAGCGACGGUGGUGGUGGUUUGAUGAUUCACAAGAGGCAGCGAUGGGGAGUGUCGAGUUCAGAUCGGGUCCUUAUGUGUCAAGGUUUGGAGGCGACAAUAAGUAUUGGUGUUUCUUCAUCCAUAAUUUAAAAUUUCGGUUAUACGGUAGUUACCGGCAACGGAGACGAUCACCAUCCGUCGGUUAGUGGUGAAUAGACGUGACGUU
This 566-nucleotide long non-coding RNA is filed under the name Helianthus annuus (common sunflower). Lineage: Eukaryota; Viridiplantae; Streptophyta; Magnoliopsida; Asterales; Asteraceae. The record is from RNAcentral.